GCUUACGGCCAUAUCAGCCUGGGUACGCCAUCUCGCUGAUCUCGGAAGCUAAGCAGGGUCGGGCCUGGUUAGUACUUGGAUGGGAGACCGCCUGGGAAUACCAGGUGCUGUAAGCA
RNAcentral lists this ribosomal RNA (116 nucleotides) under Salmo salar (Atlantic salmon). Lineage: Eukaryota; Metazoa; Chordata; Actinopteri; Salmoniformes; Salmonidae. The record is from RNAcentral.